GACAGAGGGUGCAAACGUUGCUCGGAAUUACUGGGCGUAAAGCGCGUGUAGGCGGUUCCGCCAGUCUGGUGUGAAAACCCGGGGCUCAACCCCGGGCCUGCAGCCGAUACGGGCAGACUAGAGUUCGGCAGGGGAGACUGGAAUUCCUGGUGUAGCGGUGAAAUGCGCAGAUAUCAGGAGGAACACCGGUGGCGAAGGCGGGUCUCUGGACCACAACUGACGCUGAGGCGCGAAAGCUAGGGGAGCAAACAGG
This 253-nucleotide ribosomal RNA is filed under the name uncultured bacterium. RNAcentral describes it as "partial 16S ribosomal RNA". It matches the Rfam family "Bacterial small subunit ribosomal RNA", at positions 524 to 776 of the family's 1533-position model. The record is from RNAcentral.